UACGGAGGGGGCUAGCGUUGUUCGGAUUUACUGGGCGUAAAGGGCGCGUAGGCGGCGCGGUAAGUCACUUGUGAAAUCUCUGAGCUUAACUCAGAACGGCCAAGUGAUACUGCAGUGCUAGAGUGUGGAAGGGGCAAUCGGAAUUCUUGGUGUAGCGGUGAAAUGCGUAGAUAUCAAGAGGAACACCUGAGGUGAAGACGGGUUGCUGGGCCAACACUGACGCUGAGGCGCGAAAGCCAGGGGAGCAAACGGG
RNAcentral lists this ribosomal RNA (253 nucleotides) under uncultured bacterium. RNAcentral's name for it is "partial 16S ribosomal RNA". It matches the Rfam family "Bacterial small subunit ribosomal RNA", at positions 524 to 776 of the family's 1533-position model. The record is from RNAcentral.